CCUACGGGUGGCAGCAGUGGGGGAUAUUGGACAAUGGGGGAAACCCUGAACCAGCGACGCCGCGUGAGUGAAGAAGGAUUUCGGUAUGUAAAGCUCUAUCAGCAGGGGAGAAAGAAAUGACGGUACUUGAGUAAGAAGCCUCGGCUAACGACGUGCCUGCAGCCGCGGGAAUACGUCGGGGGCAAGCGUUAUCCGGAAUUACUGGGUGUAAAGGGAGCGUAGACGGUAAUGCAAGUCUGGAGUGAAAGGCGGGGGCCCACCCCCCGGACUGCUCUGGAAACUGUGUAACUUGAGUGCAGGAGAGGCAGGCGGAAUUCGUGGUGUAGCGGUGAAAUGCGUAGAUAUUAGGAAGAACACCAGUGGCGAAGGCGGCCUGCUGGACUGUAACUGACGUUGAGGCUCGAAAGCGUGGGGAGCAAACAGGAUUAGAUACCCGUGUAGUC
Molecule: ribosomal RNA, 443 nt
Filed under: uncultured bacterium
Lineage: Bacteria
Description: partial 16S ribosomal RNA
Rfam family: Bacterial small subunit ribosomal RNA
Source: RNAcentral